Molecule: ribosomal RNA, 460 nt
Filed under: uncultured bacterium
Lineage: Bacteria
Description: partial 16S ribosomal RNA
Rfam family: Bacterial small subunit ribosomal RNA
Source: RNAcentral
CCUACGGGUGGCAGCAGUGAGGAAUAUUGGUCAAUGGACGCAAGUCUGAACCAGCCAUGCCGCGUGCAGGAAGACGGCUCUAUGAGUUGUAAACUGCUUUUGUACGAGGGUAAACGCAGAUACGCGUAUCUGUCUGAAAGUAUCGUACGAAUAAGAAUCGGCUAACUCCGUGCCAGCAGCCGCGGUAAUCCGGAGGAUUCAAGCGUUAUCCGGAUUUAUUGGGUUUAAAGGGUGCGUAGGCGGUCGGAUAAGUUAGAGGUGAAAUCCCGAGGCUCAACUUCGGACUUGCCUCUGAUACUGUUAGGCUAGAGAGUAGUUGCGGUAGGCGGAAUGUAUGGUGUAGCGGUGAAAUGCUUAGAGAUCAUACAGAACACCGAUUGCGAAGGCAGCUUACCAAGCUACGUCUGACGUUGAGGCACGAAAGCGUGGGGAGCAAACAGGAUUAGAUACCCCGGUAGUC